RNAcentral lists this non-coding RNA (54 nucleotides) under Xyrichtys novacula (pearly razorfish). It matches the Rfam family "Editing element of GABA-3 exon 9". The record is from RNAcentral. Lineage: Eukaryota; Metazoa; Chordata; Actinopteri; Labriformes; Labridae.
AAAGUGGCGUACGCAACAGCAAUGGACUGGUUCAUUGCCGUCUGCUACGCUUUU